Molecule: unclassified non-coding RNA, 475 nt
Filed under: Zea mays
Lineage: Eukaryota; Viridiplantae; Streptophyta; Magnoliopsida; Poales; Poaceae
Description: misc RNA Zm00001eb036260
Source: RNAcentral
GGCCGGGACGCGCCUCCCCCUAGGCGUCGCCACCAGGCCACGCCCGGAGCAGCCACCUGGUCGUCGGGCUCCGCGCUGCCCCCGAGGCUGGACCGCCGCGGACGCCCCUGUCCCUGCUGCUCCCUUCGGCCGGUCGGCUGCUCCCUUUGGCCGACCGGCUGCUCCCUUUGGCCGGACCGCCACGGACGCCCCUGCCUCAGCUGCUCCCUUCGGCCGGUCGGCUGCUCCCUUUGGCCGCCCGACUGCUCCCAGGGCUGCGCCGCCGCCGCCUGGGCGCACAACCACGUCUGCCACACACUCUACCGCCGGUCUUCUCCCAGCAGCAGCGCCGCUCGGCCUCAAGCGCCUGUCGUGCGAGCUCCUGCGAGGUCCCUGCUCUCCCCGCCAGCGCACUGCCCCUGCUUGGCCUCCCUCCAUCCCGCGACCCUUCCUCGUGCCGCCCCGCGGCCAUCGCGGCUGCUACCAUCGCCUCGUC